UUGGCUGGCCGUUCAACAGCUUGCAGCUUGAAACAGUGGAGGCAGGAGGCGGGGAUUCCAUCUCUGGCUUAUGCUUGCAGCUGUUCGACGCCAGGGUCUCUUCCUGUGGAUUCCUGGAGACCUUGUAACUCGAAGAAGCGAUGGAGACAGGAGGCAAGUCCAUGACACAGAGACCAUCGAGCCACCACCCUUUAGGCUUUCUGUAAUGGCCCAUCCUGAUUUGUGCCUCGGUUUGAGGUCCGAUCGGGUGCGGCCGCCACUGCCCAGAACAUUCCAUUCAACCCUUCCUUGGAACCCUUUCUCUUCAUACUCCUUCCUAGAAGCGUUCCGGUUGCUUCUUGUGAUCAUUACGAGUUUUGGCGGAGAAGAGAUGAUGGCAGUGACAACUCUUUUCACAGACUUACUCUUCGAUGUCGACUCUGUUCUUGGGUGCCUGAGACGGAGAUCAGAGGAACUGUUUGAGUGGGUCCAUAGCAUCUGACUAUGAACAGCUACUUAUGCCUUCUAUGUGGUCUGAGUGGUUCGGUUCGUCAGAGGAGCUCUGCGAGAAACAUUAACUCGAAUUACGCGCACGACGUGUUUGAUGGUAUGUGUAAGAGUAACAUUUCUUGUGAUCAUCAGAGAGAUGAUGGCAGUGGCAACUCUUUUGACGACCUACUCUUCGAUGUCGACCUGGUUCUUGGGUGCAUGAGACGGAGAUCAGAGGAACUGUUUGAGUGGGUCCAUAGCAUCUGACUAUGAACAGCUACUUAUGCCUUCUGUGUGGUCGAAUUGUUCAGUUCGUCAGUGGAGAUCUGUGAGUAACAUAAGCAAGAAUUGCGCACAUGACAUGUUUGAUGGUAUGUGUAGGAGUAACAUUUCUUGUGAUCAUCGGAGAGAUGAUGGCAGUGACAACUCUGUUCACGGCCUACUCUUCGAUGUUGACUCAGUUCUUGGGUGCCUGAGACGGAGAUCAGAGGAACUGUUUGAGUGGGUCCAUAGCAUCUGACUGUGAACAGCUACUUAUGCCUUCUAUGUGGUCGAAUGGUCAGCUCGUCAGUGGAGAUCUGUGAGUAACAUUAGCAAGAAUUACGCACAUGACGUGUUUGAUGGUAUUUGUAAGAGUAACAUUUCUUGUGAUCAUCAGAGAGAUGAUGGCAGUGGCAACUCUGUUCACAGCCUACUCUUCGAUGUUGACUCAGUUCUUGGGUGCCUGAGACGGAGAUCAGAGGAACUGUUUGAGUGGGUCCAUAGCAUCUGACUGUGAACAGCUACUUAUGCCUUCUAUGUGGUCGAAUGGUCAGCUCGUCAGUGGAGAUCUGUGAGUAACAUUAGCAAGAAUUACGCACAUGACGUGUUUGAUGGUAUUUGUAAGAGUAACAUUUCUUGUGAUCAUCAGAGAGAUGAUGGCAGUGGCAACUCUGUUCACAGCCUACUCUUCGAUGUUGACUCAGUUCUUGGGUGCCUGAGACGGAGAUCAGAGGAACUGUUUGAGUGGGUCCAUAGCAUCUGACUGUGAACAGCUACUUAUGCCUUCUAUGUGGUCGAAUGGUCAGCUCGUCAGUGGAGAUCUAGAGAUGAUGGCAGUGGCAAUGCUGUUCACGGCGUACUGUUCGAUGUUGACUCAGUUCUUGGGUGCCUGAGAGGGAGAUCAGAGGAUCUGUUUGAGUGGGUCCAUAGCAUCUGAUUAUGAACAGGUACUUGCCUUCUAUGUGGUUGAAUGGUUUGGUUCAUUGGUGAAUUACGCACAUGACGUGUUUGAUGGUAUGUGUUAGGGGUGACAUGUUACGUGAUCUUUGACGAUGAACGCAAGAUAAGAGUUUUACUUAUCAUUUGAUCAGAAUGGAAUAAUGGGAGUGGAGUAAGAUGCCUUGGUUUUAGUCACAGAGUAUGUGCCUGAUUACAUGGAAAUAUGAAGAAGCUAUUGAUUUUAAGAAGUAUACUUCUAGAACUGAAGCUGGAGACGAUAAUGCAAGCUCUCUUUUCUGAUAAAGAAGUCACUGGGAUGGAUAUCUGUCUAAUAGGUAGAACUGGAGAACAAGCAAGUUGAUUUGGGAUCCUUUAUCUACGAGUCUUGAGGCCUAUCUUUCAAUACAUCUUUAUGGAGCAAUUCUUUCAUAGCUGAAGAGCUAUCUAUGUUGAUUACCAUUCCAAUGAGAAUACUCAGGAUACAAUUAUCUACUGUUGCAGGACCUCCAUAGUUUGAAUGGCAGCAUGUCCGUAUGAUUUGGCCUUGGCACUGGAGGUACAAAGUCUUGAUUUGUUGCAUCCAUCAUUUGCAUCGAUCGAACGUUCAUCUGUUGUUUUGCUGUUGCUCGAUGCUUGCAUUCUGGCAGCAGCUUGGGAUGGAUAGCCAAGAUCAUCAAAAUAAGGCAGCCCAACCUUGUGCUCGACAUCGAAUUCUGGUGUCCUCAAGCUGUCUGAGCCUGUCUCGCCCACCGAACCCAUGGUCUCUCCUGAGGAUGUCUCCUGCUGUUGCUGCAUCUUCUCCCAGGCUUCCCUUGUUGGAGCUGCGGCUUGCAUCAGCCAACCUGUACUCAUGCAUGAUCCAAUCGGUCUUCACGCCUCUUGGUGCCUUGCCGGUGUAGAAGACCAAAGCUUUUUUGAUACCCAAAGUCCUUUCGCUGCCCUUUGCUGAGAUCGGCUUAUCGGCACCAGUUGCCUUCCAGUAUCCCUUCCCGGCGGCCCUGUUCGGUCUCGAGCCGUUGAGUACCUGGUAGCUCCCAGGGGUUGUGCUUGUAGAGAUCGAUGUCGACGAUGAUGGGUGCGGGUAGGCACAGGCAGGCCAUCUUCCGGCAGAGGUAGUGCACGACGAGCUCUUCGUCCGUGGGGUGGAAGCGGAACCCCGGUGGCAGGUUGAGCUCCGCUUCCGCGUCUCUUUUCCUCCCCAUCCUCGUUUCCUUCGCUGGCUCACAAGUCAAGAAAGCUCUCCACUCUCUCUCAGAUGGCAGCCAAAAGUUGCACCGGCAACGAUUGGUAAAACACGGACGUGUGUGGACCUAUGGGACAUGGGAGGAGUUGUGUGGGUUCUUGAGUGGACCCCAUCGGCCGCAUGUGGGACCCAGGAAACUUCGUGUGCGGUUCGGAGGCGGCUGACGACCAUUGAUCUCCUUGGAAGAGUAAUAUUUUGAUUAUAAUGAUUUUUUUCUUAUUGUAAUUAAUUUAAAGUUGGGAUAAAGAGGGACGGGUCUCUGUUUAAACCUAACCCCCACCCUCCCCAACCAAAAAAAAAAAGGAAUUAGAUCAAAUUAUUCGAACAGUAGAAAUGGAACGAAGAAGUGAUGAUUGGAUUAACUACGGCGGCUUAGAAAAGUCGUAGCCACCGACACAGAUCUUUUUGUGUUGAUAUAUAUAUAUAUAUAUAUAUAUAUAUAUAUUCUUUCCUUUUAUUAGGUACUAAUUUUUAAUCUAUUUGGUAUAUUCAUUAAUCUUGCCUUGUGAUCACCAAAGUGGAUGGAUCAUGUGGUGAUUAAUGUAGCGGUGGCGAUGUGUCACGUCAAGGUUGGCUCAAUUAGUUUUCAAGCUCUCCAAUUUAUGUGGAAAAUUAGAGUUGUCUAGCUUUCUGCCAUUCAACAUAAUUGACCAAUUACGGAGAUGGAAUGAGCCAACAACUAAUACCGAUGUGACACUUGAACCACCGAAUGUUUCGCACGAUUCCUCGUGUUUAAGAAACACAUUUUUAUCCUACUACUCUUAGUAAUUCAACUCUUCAGUAAGUCAUUCCACAUCUAUGUUUUUUCUUCUUCUUAGAUUCCAUGUCGGCAUUAUAUUGAGAUUAGACGCUACAUGUGUUAAUUAUUAGGAUGUCUGGUUUUUUGUUGAGACAUGGGUUGAUUAGUGCAUUGUUGUAUAAUAUAAGUGUAA
Long non-coding RNA from Musa acuminata AAA Group (dessert banana), 3843 nucleotides. RefSeq lists it as uncharacterized. The record is from RefSeq and is a predicted model, not a curated record. Lineage: Eukaryota; Viridiplantae; Streptophyta; Magnoliopsida; Zingiberales; Musaceae. The transcript is spliced from 7 exons.